RNAcentral lists this ribosomal RNA (558 nucleotides) under Triticum aestivum (bread wheat). Its description in RNAcentral is "partial small subunit ribosomal RNA". The record is from RNAcentral. Lineage: Eukaryota; Viridiplantae; Streptophyta; Magnoliopsida; Poales; Poaceae.
AUGGAUGAAAUGCUGCUGAGACGUUACAAGAUAUUCCAGCAGAGGCAUCCUUACCGUCCGCAUUACAAGGAUAUGAGAACAUUGGGGGCGGAACAAUGGAAGGCACAAUUCCAAGUACAGCUCUUCAAGAACAGUUCUCUGAAGGAACAACAAUUUACAAGCUUGGCGCUUACCAGAAUGCCCGCCAUUGUGACGUUUUGGGGAAAAUUAGCAGAUUCCCUUGAUGCAGACAAGCUACAACGGUGGUCUGCUCAAGAACCCAUUAUAGUUCUAUUUGUUGGCAUGCCAGUACAUGAAUUUAAUGAAACUUGGCCUUCAAGUCCUGUCUGCCAUAUUGCGAUGGAACGGCAGUAUAAUAUACAAAACUUUGACGAGGCUCAUCUGCUUCAAAAUUUCACAAUAAGGUGUAUGUUCUAUAACCUCUACGCUUUAGCUGGAAAUGGUAACUUGAUUGAACUCGAUCAGUUUCCAAUCAAGACAAUUUGCAACUUUGGUGUUGUCACAUUGGAGUCCGUGCUGAGCAGCAAUGGGAGACUGUCGUUGAUGCCCAACCAAUGA